AAUAUACUGUAGUAGAAUAAAGGGGUAGGGGUCAUCAGCAAAUCUGUUGGAGCUAAUACGGCUUGCAUUCGCUUGAUAAGUAUAAUAACAUUACCUUUAACUUGAAACUGCUGUUCUUUUCCACAUUUGUCUUCCUCUUUUUCUAUACAUUUUUUGUUCAGUCUAUCUACUGAAGAUGCCCGUGGUGUUGGUGGUCUGUCUUGAGACAUUGUUGCCACUCCUUCCUGAAGAAGGAACUAGUACACUCCCACUCUUGGGUUUCAAAUGAAUAGACUGGUGUAAGGAAUAUGACGGAAACUGUCUCCCUGCAGCCCAUUCCUUUUAAAUCCAUGAGGAUUGACAAAGUUUAUACUACUGACAAGGUAGAGAAACUGAAUGGGGCUUUGGGGUGUUAAUCAUCAGUUUGGUCUCUCCUUGCAGUGCUGACCUUCCCGCCUGGAGGGGGAGAUCCUGUCCUUCAGUGUGUGGUCUGGGGGUGCUGGUUGUCUGGCUGGCUGGCAGGAUCUUGGCCAACACUGUCCCUGACCAGGUCAGCCCCAUCCACUCUGGAGCACUUUGAGAACACGGAGCUCAAAACAACAACAGCAGACAUUGUGUCUCUGCAGAUAAGACUGUUAAAGCCAGGAUUUUGUGGGAUAAGACUGGUGCAAUACUCAUGACUGCGAGACGCCCUGGAUGAUCCUUGUGGAGAGAGGAGGCCUCUGAGCUGUCCUCUCUGAAGCCCCAGCUGGAAGAGCUCGGGGUCCCUCUGUACUCCGUAGUGAAAGAGGAUAUCGGCAUAGAGAUCCAGAACUUCAGACCCUACUUCAAUGGCGAGAUCUUUGUGGAUGAGAAGGUCCGAUUAUUAUAUACAGUGCAUUCGGAAAGUAUUCAGACCCCUAAAAUUGAUUAAAUAGUGUUUUUCCCUCAAAUCUACA
Salmo salar (Atlantic salmon) is the source of this 917-nucleotide non-coding RNA. Lineage: Eukaryota; Metazoa; Chordata; Actinopteri; Salmoniformes; Salmonidae. The record is from RefSeq and is a predicted model, not a curated record.